GUGGCCACGAAUGCCGGGUGUUCGUCCGUCCCGUCCGUUCGUCGCCGACCGUUCGGCUUGCCUAUACCCACGGAUGGAAUGGAAUGGACUCCGGCGGAAUGGGACGAGGACGGAGUCGGCAUUAAUAAAACAUUAAGACUCCGUACAUAAAAGUGGUGAAGUCUUGCUCCGCUCCGUUUGUGGACAGGACGGCCAGCCAUGACCACGAGAUAUCCACGACGGUCAUGGACAAACGGAACGAACAAACGCGACGUGGACGAACGGACAGACGGACGGACGGACGGGCAGCUUCCAAGUCUCUUCUGGUUCCUGCGUCGCCUGUCACUCACUCGAUCGACCACUGAUGGAAGGAGAAAGGACCGCGGACGGUAGCUUCCAUCGCGCGGUGCCCUUUCUGACUCGCCGCGGAAAAACUGACACCGACGAUCGAGUUAUAGAACUUUUCCAAACGCGGACCAUUCCAACCUCUUAGCGACUGCCUGUUAAUGCCUUUCCACGCGCGACCGUCCGUUCUUCGAGGAACCAGCCUUGUUUUUCUUGUCUAUGAAGUUAUGAGAACACACAGGAAUUAGAGUGUGAAUUUUCUUCGACUAUUAUUUGAACUGUCCUCUCUGGUGUUUUGCUGGCAUCUUCUAAUACGAGAAGAUGUUUAGAGGGUUAUGGUGAAUUCGGGUUUAGAGAACUGGUUGGGAAUUUUGAACGUGGAAGGCACAGUUUCCGUAGAGUCUAUGCUUGUGUUGUGAGAAAAUUGAUUCUGGAAGCUGGUAGGGUUGUGUGAAUUGAAUAGCAGUCGCAGUGGUUCUCCGACAGUUAUACAGAAGAUUGCACAAAAAUAUUUAACCCUUUCGAUACAUGAUGUUCAAUAGAAAGAUCAAACGAUUAAUUGAAACAUCACCGAUCGACCUCCUCUGAGGACAAACCUUAAAUCCAUCUCGAUCCCUCAUUUAAUGGAUCCUUCCUGAACCUCCUUCGUUCAGAUUUGAACAAAAACUCCGCAUCAAGAGAUCCAACAGCGUGAACGCAAAAAGGAGACACGUCUGUUUAUAUCCCCGUAAGAAGAAGAAUUUUUAUUCGAUCAGCUAGCAAUGAUUUUCCUCUCGAUCCGUUCGUCGGGAAUCGUUGGAAAACUGGUGGUGGAAAGCGUGAAGAGCGUUUCGCGCUUAUCCCGUAGGUAUAUAAUACCUCUCGGUUGGCGUCAGUCACUCAGUCAGUCAUUGAUACCGCGUGGUGAUUAAUGAAGAGUCAAGGUUCAGGAUCACGGUGCCGAGUUCAGAGGAGGGGACACGACGGGAGAGCUCUCGACGUCGAGAGACGAGUAUUCGAUACAGCGCGUUCCUCAGGAAUGAAGCGGAUACGUCGCACGUGGAGGGACCAUGUCACGAGGAACGUACAAUGUUUACUCGAUACAAUUGAUAAAACCGUGAAAAGACUUUGAGAAACUGUUAAGAAUUCGUUGAAUAAUUAAAAAAUAAAAACGGUAAUUUAAAAA
Molecule: non-coding RNA, 1489 nt
Organism: Osmia lignaria (orchard mason bee)
Lineage: Eukaryota; Metazoa; Arthropoda; Insecta; Hymenoptera; Megachilidae
Source: RefSeq, a predicted model, not a curated record